Molecule: small RNA, 96 nt
Filed under: Arabidopsis thaliana (thale cress)
Lineage: Eukaryota; Viridiplantae; Streptophyta; Magnoliopsida; Brassicales; Brassicaceae
Description: ATSL267540
Source: RNAcentral
CUAGAAACUAACCGAGCUUCUUCUUGCUUCUCAAAGCUUUGAUGGUGUAGCCAUAGUCCGUACGAGUCUUUGUCUUUGUAUCUAUUAACAAAGAUA